GGUCAGAAGAUGAUGUUAGCUGCCCGAUUUGCAUGGAUUUUUACUCAGAAAUUCUGCAAAGUGAACGACUGUUUUUGUCAACCCCCUGCGGCCAUGUUUUUUGCAGUCAGUGCCUCCCUGUUGCCAUUGAGAUUGCCAGAACGUGUCCAAUCUGCAGGACAGAAGUCACUCAUGGACAAUAUCAGCCCAUUAUUUUAUGAGCACUUCUAUUUCUCAGGAGGGACUCAGACGGAUCUUGGGGGACAGGCCAUGUAAAGACUUUUUCCUUCAUGUGUAUAGUUAUUCUUGUAUAUAGUUCCAUUUUUUCCUGAAUUUAGUUAUAAAUAAAGUAUUGAUUAACUUAAAUAUA
Long non-coding RNA from Empidonax traillii (willow flycatcher), 349 nucleotides. RefSeq lists it as uncharacterized. NCBI's taxonomy places the organism in Eukaryota, Metazoa, Chordata, Aves, Passeriformes, Tyrannidae. The transcript has 2 exons. The record is from RefSeq and is a predicted model, not a curated record.